This 435-nucleotide ribosomal RNA is filed under the name uncultured bacterium. RNAcentral describes it as "partial 16S ribosomal RNA". It matches the Rfam family "Bacterial small subunit ribosomal RNA", at positions 29 to 507 of the family's 1533-position model. The record is from RNAcentral.
AGCGAACGCUGGCGGCAGGCUUAACACAUGCAAGUCGAACGGGCAUCUUCGGAUGUCAGUGGCAGACGGGUGAGUAACACGUGGGAACGUACCCUUCGGUUCGGAAUAACUCAGGGAAACUUGAGCUAAUACCGGAUACGCCCUUUUGGGGAAAGGUUUACUGCCGAAGGAUCGGCCCGCGUCUGAUUAGCUUGUUGGUGGGGUAACGGCCUACCAAGGCGACGAUCAGUAGCUGGUCUGAGAGGAUGAUCAGCCACACUGGGACUGAGACACGGCCCAGACUCCUACGGGAGGCAGCAGUGGGGAAUAUUGGACAAUGGGCGCAAGACUGAUCCAGCCAUGCCGCGUGAGUGAUGAAGGCCUUAGGGUUGUAAAGCUCUUUUGUCCGGGACGAUAAUGACGGUACCGGAAGAAUAAGCCCCGGCUAACUUCGUG